CCUACGGGAGGCAGCAGUGAGGGAUAUUGCACAAUGGGCGCAAGCCUGAUCCAGCCAUGCCGCGUGAGUGAUGAAGGCCUUAGGGUUGUAAAGCUCUUUCGGCGGGGACGAUAAUGACGGUACCCGCAGAAGAAGUCUCGGCUAACUACGUGCCAGCAGCCGCGGUAAU
RNAcentral lists this ribosomal RNA (169 nucleotides) under uncultured bacterium. Its description in RNAcentral is "partial 16S ribosomal RNA". It matches the Rfam family "Bacterial small subunit ribosomal RNA", at positions 338 to 524 of the family's 1533-position model. The record is from RNAcentral.